Molecule: long non-coding RNA, 324 nt
Filed under: Brassica rapa (field mustard)
Lineage: Eukaryota; Viridiplantae; Streptophyta; Magnoliopsida; Brassicales; Brassicaceae
Description: long non-coding RNA (BRAP_LNC004250)
Source: RNAcentral
UCAUCAUCAUGUGAUUUCAGUUUUCCACAAGAAACUAUAUUCGAUUCACUCCACAGCGACGACGUCGAUUUCGGAAUAUACUUCCAGAAUAUUCCGACCACAUUAUUCUACCGUAAUCUCCGACAGCUAAAAUACAUAUUUAAAUUGCAUCAGUAUGAUCUGAAAUUCAAGAAAGACGCAGCAAAAGGAAACUUACCGAGCUUAACCGUCAUUGAACCGAGGUAUUUCGACCUCAAGGGCUUACCGGCCAAUGACGAUCACCCAUCUCACGACGUAGCUAACGGCCAAAAGCUGGUUAAAGAAGUGUACGAGACACUUAGGUCG